This 867-nucleotide unclassified non-coding RNA is filed under the name Hevea brasiliensis (rubber tree). Lineage: Eukaryota; Viridiplantae; Streptophyta; Magnoliopsida; Malpighiales; Euphorbiaceae. The record is from RNAcentral.
UCUAAUUCCAACUUUAUCUGCUCCUAUCUCGUUGGCUACAGCUUCAACUAUUUCCAAAGCGAAACGGCAGCGGUUCUCCAGAGAUCCACCAUAUUGAUCUGUACGAUCAUUCACCUGAUCUUUCAUAAACUGAUCAAUUAGGUAACCAUGAGCCCCAUGGAUCUCAACCCCAUCAAAACCAGCUUCCAUAGCAUUCCUUGCAGCAAUUCUAAAAUCAUUCACAACUUGCGGAAUUUCAUCUGUUCGUAGUCGCCUCGGAGGUGUGAACUGUGCAACAUCAAUGCCAUUAGCUCGAAUUUGAGGGGCGGGGCCAAAGGCUUGUCUGUAGGAGGAGAUUGGAGCUUGCCCAUUUGGCUGAAAACCUGAAUUUGAAACUCUUCCAACAUGCCAAAUUUGCAAGAAGAAUAUACCCCCUUUGGCAUGAACAGCAUCUACAAUGGGUUUCCACGCCUCAACUUGUUCUUUGGUCCAAAUACCAGGAGUAUCGGUAUACCCUUGAGCAGUGUCAGAAACUCCCGUUGCUUCAGCUAUAAGAAGACCCCCUUUGGUGGUUCUUUGAGAGUAAUACAAGAUGGCAUGUGGCUGAGGAACGUUGUUGUAAGAUCUCUGCCUGGUUAAUGGUGCUAGAACAAUUCUGUGAGAAAGGUCGAACUUCCCCAACUUGUAUGGUGUGAGAAGAGGAAUAGUGUGGGAUUGAGCAGACAUGUUAGUAUUGUUCGAGUUCUACUUGCUUAACUUUAGUUUUCGAAGCCAAUGGAAUAUAGAAUGGAGAAGGCGAGCAGGGGAAGUGGGCAUAUUUAAAGAAUCAAAUCAGAGAACAGACAAGCCUGUGAUGGCUUCACGAUGUAAAAAGCACAUGAAAGUUCA